GAAAUGCGAUAAGUAAUGUGAAUUGCAGAAUUCAGUGAAUCAUCGAAUCUUUGAACGCACAUUGCGCCCGCCAGUAUUCUGGCGGGCAUGCCUGUCCGAGCGUCAUUUCAACCAUCAAGCCCCCGGGCUUGUGUUGGGGACUUGUGGCUGCCCGCAGGCCCUGAAAACCAGUGGCGGGCUCGCUGUCACACCGAGCGUAGUAGCAAUCACCUCGCUCAGGGCGUGCUGCGGGUUCCGGCCGUUAAACAGCCUUACAAAACCCAAGGUUGACCUCGGAUCAGGUAGGAAGACCCGCUGAACUUAAGC
This 306-nucleotide unclassified non-coding RNA is filed under the name plant metagenome. Its description in RNAcentral is "partial contains 5.8S ribosomal RNA, internal transcribed spacer 2, and large subunit ribosomal RNA". The stretch from base 1 to 105 matches the Rfam family "5.8S ribosomal RNA", at positions 50 to 154 of the family's 154-position model. The record is from RNAcentral.